UACGUAGGGUGCGAGCGUUGUCCGGAAUUAUUGGGCGUAAAGAGCUUGUAGGCGGUCUGUCGCGUCUGCUGUGAAAAUCCGGGGCUCAACCCCGGACGUGCAGUGGGUACGGGCAGACUAGAGUGUGGUAGGGGAGACUGGAAUUCCUGGUGUAGCGGUGAAAUGCGCAGAUAUCAGGAGGAACACCGGUGGCGAAGGCGGGUCGCUGGGCCGAUACUGACGCUGAGGAGCGAAAGCGUGGGGAGCGAACAGG
This 253-nucleotide ribosomal RNA is filed under the name uncultured bacterium. RNAcentral describes it as "partial 16S ribosomal RNA". It matches the Rfam family "Bacterial small subunit ribosomal RNA", at positions 524 to 776 of the family's 1533-position model. The record is from RNAcentral.